CCUACGGGUGGCAGCAGUGAGGAAUAUUGGUCAAUGGACGCAAGUCUGAACCAGCCAUGCCGCGUGCAGGAAGACGGCUCUAUGAGUUGUAAACUGCUCUUGUACGAGGGUAAACGCAGAUACGCGUAUCUGUCUGAAAGUAUCGUACGAAUAAGGAUCGGCUAACUCCGUGCCAGCAGCCGCGGUAAUACGGAGGAUUCAAGCGUUAUCCGGAUUUAUUGGGUUUAAAGGGUGCGUAGGCGGUCGGAUAAGUUAGUGGUGAAAUCCCGAGGCUCAACUUCGGAAUUGCCUGUGAUACGGUGCGGCUAGAGAGUAGUUGCGGUAGGCGGAAUGUGUGGUGUAGCGGUGAAAUGCUUAGAGAUCAUACAGAACACCGAUUGCGAAGGCAGCUUACCGGGCUACUUCUGACGUUGAGGCACGAAAGCGUGGGGAGCAAACAGGAUUAGAUACCCGAGUAGUC
This 460-nucleotide ribosomal RNA is filed under the name uncultured bacterium. RNAcentral's name for it is "partial 16S ribosomal RNA". It matches the Rfam family "Bacterial small subunit ribosomal RNA", at positions 338 to 795 of the family's 1533-position model. The record is from RNAcentral.